Molecule: ribosomal RNA, 498 nt
Filed under: uncultured bacterium
Lineage: Bacteria
Description: partial 16S ribosomal RNA
Rfam family: Bacterial small subunit ribosomal RNA
Source: RNAcentral
GACGAACGCUGGCGGCGUGCUUAACACAUGCAAGUCGAACGGGCCCGCUCUCUUUUUUGGGGUGGGUUGAGUGGCGAAAGGGUGAGUAUCAAGGGAGUAACCUGCCCCCUGCUCCUGGAUAACUGCUUGAAAGGGCGGCUAAUAAGGGGUGUGCCGGCUGGUCCGCAUGGGCCUGGUCGGGAUAGUUUCAUCUUCGGGUGUUUCGGUGGGGGAUGGGCUCGCGGCCUAUCAGCUUGUUGGUGGGGUGAUGGCCCACCAAGGCGGUGACGGGUAGCCGGCCUGAGAGGGUGGGCGGCCACACUGGGACUGAGACACGGCCCAGACUCCUGCGGGAGGCAGCAGUGGGGGGUAUUGCACAAUGGGCGGAAGCCUGAUGCAGCGACGUCGCGUGAGGGAUGGAGGCCUUCGGGUUGUGAACCUCUUUCUCCGGUGGUGAAGGCCCUGUCCGUUGCGGCGGGGUUGACGGUAGCCGGGUAUGAAGCGCCGGCUAACUACGUG